UAGGGAAUCUUCCGCAAUGGACGAAAGUCUGACGGAGCGACGCCGCGUGAGCGAAGAAGGUCUUCGGAUCGUAAAGCUCUGUUGUUAGGGAAGAAGAAGUGCCGUUCGAACAGGGCGGCACGGUGACGGUACCUAACGAGAAAGCCCCGGCUAACUACGUGCCAGCAGCCGCGGUAAUACGUAGGGGGCGAGCGUUGUCCGGAAUUAUUGGGCGUAAAGCGCGCGCAGGCGGUCCCUUAAGUCUGAUGUGAAAGCCCACGGCUUAACCGUGGAGGGUCAUUGGAAACUGGGGGACUUGAGUGCAGAAGAGGAGAGCGGAAUUCCACGUGUAGCGGUGAAAUGCGUAGAGAUGUGGGGAACACCAGUGGCGAAGGCGGCUCUCUGGUCUGUAACUGACGCUGAGGCGCGAAAGCGUGGGGAGCAAACAGG
RNAcentral lists this ribosomal RNA (429 nucleotides) under bacterium. RNAcentral's name for it is "partial 16S ribosomal RNA". It matches the Rfam family "Bacterial small subunit ribosomal RNA", at positions 355 to 776 of the family's 1533-position model. The record is from RNAcentral.